AAUCAAUUGAGGUUAUGUUGUUCCCGGAAAAACAAAAACAAAUUCUUGUAAAUUGUGUCUUGUGCUUACGUGAUAUUUCAUCACUCAGUUCUCUUGCAAAUCUGCAAGAUCGCAAUGACUUAGAAGGAAAACACAUCGCAUCAGCGACAUACCGGCUUGGAAAGUAUAACGACAAAAGCUGCAAAGUGUGCUAAUUUCCACAAGGAAAAAGAAUAGUUCUACUUUGAAUUAAUUCAAUCUUGUGCGGGGAUGUCAAAUGUAUUUGCUUUUCACCCUAUGACUGAACUGUCCGGGAGCGCUAAAACUACGUAAGAGCAUCAUUCCCCAAUUCAUGAGAGGUACAAAUAAAUCUUCGCUUGAAAUCUCAUACAGUUCUGAACGUUCCGAGCUUCUAAGCGAUUAAAUCUGGUGGACGGACAUUUGUGAUGAUCAUAAAAAUUGUGUACUGGACAGUGAUCACCAUAAGAAUUCAAUUCGCACGGGUAAAGAGAUACACUAUGAUUCCCCGUCACGUCACCUCUAAUUCGGAGAAUUCGGAGUACACAUUGAUUAAAAUGUUCUCGUAGCUUCAAUCAAGCAGCAACCCCUAAGCACAUUGAAAUUUUGCGAUAACAAUGCUCCACAAAAAGUUUUAAACAGCAUGGGAUAAAGAUGAUCAAUUAUAUCAUAUCAAAUAUUAAAUUUAAAAUUUAAAAAAUAAUCCUCAAACCUGACUAAAUAUGUACCUAUAUAUUAUAAUUUUUUUUAUUUUAAGAUUUGUUUUAAAUUGUGAUCAUCAGGACUGUCCAAGAAAAAUAUCAUAUAUAUGUAAACAAAAGCUUUUAAACAGAUAUUAAAAAUUUA
Long non-coding RNA from Phlebotomus papatasi, 843 nucleotides. RefSeq lists it as uncharacterized. Lineage: Eukaryota; Metazoa; Arthropoda; Insecta; Diptera; Psychodidae. The transcript is spliced from 2 exons. The record is from RefSeq and is a predicted model, not a curated record.